This 170-nucleotide ribosomal RNA is filed under the name Cantherhines pardalis (honeycomb filefish). RNAcentral's name for it is "partial 12S ribosomal RNA". The record is from RNAcentral. Lineage: Eukaryota; Metazoa; Chordata; Actinopteri; Tetraodontiformes; Monacanthidae.
CACCGCGGUUAUACGAGAGGCCCAAGCUGAUAGACACCGGCGUAAAGCGUGGUUAAGAGAGUUCAAAUAAUUAAAGCCGAAUGUUUUCAAAGCUGUUAUACGCAUACGAAAGCUAGAAGCCCAACUACGAAGGUGGCUUUACAGUUUCUGACCCCACGAAAGCUAAGGCA